RNAcentral lists this ribosomal RNA (270 nucleotides) under uncultured archaeon. RNAcentral's name for it is "partial 16S ribosomal RNA". It matches the Rfam family "Archaeal small subunit ribosomal RNA", at positions 477 to 747 of the family's 1478-position model. The record is from RNAcentral.
CAGCACCUCAAGUGGUCAGGAUGAUUAUUGGGCCUAAAGCAUCCGUAGCCGGCUCUGUAAGUUUUCGGUUAAAUCUGUACGCUCAACGUACAGGCUGCCGGGAAUACUGCAGAGCUAGGGAGUGGGAGAGGUAGACGGUACUCGGUAGGAAGGGGUAAAAUCCUUUGAUCUAUUGAUGACCACCUGUGGCGAAGGCGGUCUACCAGAACACGUCCGACGGUGAGGGAUGAAAGCUGGGGGAGCAAACCGGAUUAGAGAUCCGUGUAGUCC